Molecule: long non-coding RNA, 1412 nt
Organism: Pomacea canaliculata
Lineage: Eukaryota; Metazoa; Mollusca; Gastropoda; Architaenioglossa; Ampullariidae
Exons: 3
Source: RefSeq, a predicted model, not a curated record
AGUAAUGGAAACAUUAAAGAGGGGCAGUUGGUACCCUGGGGCGAUACAAGGCGGUGAGUGGACAAUAGGGGUAAAGAUGUUAUCUCCCUUUGUGGUGGCUGAGCCUGGGAAUGGACUCCGAUUACGAAAUGGGGGGCUGGGGUACGGUUGUUAAUUGAAAGGCCAGUACACUCGGCCAUGAGAACAGCGGUUUCUUGUUUCAUUGCCACCGACUGGACCCCGGUGCUAAAGGAGAGAACCAGACUAUGUGUCGCGACCGUCGAAGGUUGAUGUGGCCGACCGUUAGAAAGAGGAACAUAGACAGUAUCAUGUGAUAACUAGUAUAGGGCUAUAGUGUUGGUAUCUCGCUUCUGCUCCCUCCACAGAACAGGCGGACGCGCUGGUUUGCAGACUGUCAGAAGGUGGAAUGGGUAAUUGCAGAGUGUGGUUGCAGUGAGGUAUGUCGAGACCAGUAGCCGGCCUUUGGCGGCACUGGACCGUCGGGUGGACAAAGGGCCAGGAAGUCUCGCCACUGUUUAUCUCCCCUGGAAUCAGUAAGCCCCUGACCGCAGACCGCUUACAUCAUGACGGACGCCCGUGAAUUAUAGAAGUCCGCGACAUACCUGUAACAGGACAACAACGCUACCUUUUAUUGUCACACGCUAGACACAGGGUGAAUAGAAAGCCAGACUGGACGGCGCCGAAGUCGCAGGAUCGCGUUGCUAGUGAGAGGGGGGUAAAGAGGGGGUGUAGUUUGGGGCUGGAGUAAGCCACAGGACCACCUGUCUAUCAUGCGUUAGCUACGUAUGAUUGGUUGUAGCUAGGUAGCAGAAUGGUUGAAGGUAAGACUGAAGUAUGUUUGACCAAUCGCGAGAGAGGAUGAUCCUCACAGACGAGGAUUUAGUGGGGUGAUCGGUCAAGACUCGUUGUCUUUCGCACUGAUGCUCGAGGAGGAAGGUUGUAGCCGAAAUCUGUUCAGGGCUGUUCAGAUUCUCUGCUGUGAGUUUGUCUGGGAAUCGUGACAACUCCAGCACAACCGACAGAUAGAAACGCUUGUCGCAGUUUUAUCGACGAUGGGAAGUGUGUGCCGUACUGCCCGCCAACCAUUAUUUACGACUUUCGACAGAUGAUCAACAUAAUAAAUCCCGAUGCCAAGGUUGCAUAUGGCGGCAUCUGCGUUAAAGAAUGUCAAGUAGCCGAAACUUUACAAGGAGAUUCACGGUCUAUGAAGUACAGUUUGGGAGCAACAGCCCCGCAAGAUGACAAAGGUGCCGGACAAUUAUUGCCACGAUAAUUUAUACAGCGACUCACCUGCACGUCCGCAAAGUUGGCUGAGCGGGAGAUAAGGUAGGAAUAUUUUAAUUUAAAUUUUAAAUACCGGUUUUCUAUUUAAAAUGGAAUACUGAAGUCGCGUGGACAGAUCUGCCGUUGAA